Molecule: ribosomal RNA, 446 nt
Filed under: uncultured bacterium
Lineage: Bacteria
Description: partial 16S ribosomal RNA
Rfam family: Bacterial small subunit ribosomal RNA
Source: RNAcentral
CCAGACUCCUACGGGAGGCAGCAGUGGGGGAUAUUGCACAAUGGGGGGAACCCUGAUGCAGCGACGCCGCGUGGGUGAAGGAGCGUUUCGGCGCGUAAAGCCCUAUCGGCAGGGAAGAAGGAGGACGGUACCUGACUAAGAAGCCCCGGCUAACUACGUGCCAGCAGCCGCGGUAAUACGUAGGGGGCAAGCGUUAUCCGGAUUUACUGGGUGUAAAGGGAGCGUAGACGGUUAUGCAAGUCUGAAGUGAAAGCCCAAGGCUCAACCAUGGGACUGCUUUGGAAACUGUAAAACUGGAGUGCAGGAGAGGUAAGCGGAAUUCCUAGUGUAGCGGUGAAAUGCGUAGAGAUAUGGAGGAACACCGGUGGCGAAGGCGGCCUGCUGGACUGCAACUGACGUUGAGGCCCGAAAGCGUGGGGAGCAAACAGGAUUAGAUACCCUCGUAG